AGAGUUUGAUCAUGGCUCAGAGCGAACGCUGGCGGCAGGCCUAACACAUGCAAGUCGAACGAACUCUUCGGAGUUAGUGGCGGACGGGUGAGUAACACGUGGGAACGUGCCUUUAGGUUCGGAAUAACUCAGGGAAACUUGUGCUAAUACCGAAUGUGCCCUUCGGGGGAAAGAUUUAUCGCCUUUAGAGCGGCCCGCGUCUGAUUAGCUAGUUGGUGAGGUAAAGGCUCACCAAGGCGACGAUCAGUAGCUGGUCUGAGAGGAUGAUCAGCCACAUUGGGACUGAGACACGGCCCAAACUCCUACGGGAGGCAGCAGUGGGGAAUCUUGCGCAAUGGGCGAAAGCCUGACGCAGCCAUGCCGCGUGAAUGAUGAAGGUCUUAGGAUUGUAAAAUUCUUUCACCGGGGACGAUAAUGACGGUACCCGGAGAAGAAGCCCCGGCUAACUUCGUGCCAGCAGCCGCGGUAAUACGAAGGGGGCUAGCGUUGCUCGGAAUUACUGGGCGUAAAGGGAGCGUAGGCGGACAUUUAAGUCAGGGGUGAAAUCCCGGGGCUCAACCUCGGAAUUGCCUUUGAUACUGGGUGUCUUGAGUAUGAGAGAGGUGUGUGGAACUCCGAGUGUAGAGGUGAAAUUCGUAGAUAUUCGGGAGAACACCAGUGGCGAAGGCGACACACUGG
RNAcentral lists this ribosomal RNA (678 nucleotides) under uncultured bacterium. RNAcentral's name for it is "bacterial SSU rRNA". It matches the Rfam family "Bacterial small subunit ribosomal RNA", at positions 8 to 732 of the family's 1533-position model. The record is from RNAcentral.